Long non-coding RNA from Hylaeus anthracinus, 2356 nucleotides. RefSeq lists it as uncharacterized. The record is from RefSeq and is a predicted model, not a curated record. NCBI's taxonomy places the organism in Eukaryota, Metazoa, Arthropoda, Insecta, Hymenoptera, Colletidae. The transcript has 2 exons.
UAUUGUUACAUCCAAGUGGUUAUUUACAAUAGAAUCAAGCAAAUUUUUGUUGGUGAAUUAACUAACUUCAAAUUGGAACUGUUUCGAUCAGUAACGAAAUAGGUCCUGCUCCUGUCACUAGAUGACACUACCAAUUAUGAAUUUUAUUUAUAAGGGUGCAAAGUCGUAUCCAAUCUUACAUUUAUUCGUUCAUUAUUGCUUUACAUUACUUUGUAUACGCGUUACUUGGUUAUUCUCUGAUAUAUCCUGCCAGUAGUUUGUUAGGGCUCACUGGCCCCCUUAUAGCUUGGGUACCUCGAGUUUCCUGAAAUCGUACUGUAGCUAGGACAUAACUACAGGCCUCGAGGAUAAAUGCCACCGAUUAUUUUAACUGAUUAUAUUUUGUACACUUUUGAAUGAUCGAGCGAAAGCAAACACUCUUCCUUUAUAUACAAUUCAAAAUAAUCUUAAUAAUUUCUCAUUCGAUUAUCGUACACAUAUAUAUUUAUAUUACAUCAACAUUUACUUCAUUAGUAAGAGAUUUUUACAUAUUUUACAUUUUUGGUACAUAAUUUAAAAAAGCAUAAUCUUAUUACUGAAGAAAAAGAUCGAAAUUAUAAAGUUGUGUAGUUUUAUGGAAGAGUACUAUGUGGUUUAUAAAAAAAAUUACAGUAUCUGCCGUAAAACAGGAUAGUAAGUCCAUCUAGCGUUUCAAUACAAGAACUAAGAAGAUCAUUCCAUUGAGGAUAUAUCCAAGUCGAAAGUCUUUUAUUGUCAAAGUUAAAGACUUAAAAAGAAAGGAAUAAUGUUAUUAUUUAUACAUAAAUAGUAACAUGUAUUCCAUUGUAUUUGUAUUCGUUCAACGUGUAGCUUCCUACUAGCAUGAAUUUGUCGCGGUCACGUGGUUUUGUUUACUCGCCUUUUUAAUUUUACAUUCAACAGACGUUACAACGUCGAGAAAUUAAAAAAAUCAUAAGAGAAGUAGGAGAGGGAAGCGGGAACGGUUGGCUUUUAAAAUAGAAGCGAUGGAUCUAGUAGUAGACUCUGUUCAGACUUGUAAUGUAUUCUCCUCUGACCAUACUUUGCCAAUCACGUUGGUACUGAAUCGUCAAUACCGUGCCCACAUUGUACCAACAACUUACAACAUUUUAACAACUCUCUGUUACUCCCAAAAGCUGCAGUACGUCGACAGAUGCGACUAUAAUACAAAGCAAGGGCACUUGAUAAAAUAACUUAGUCUUCUAUUUCAUAAUUAUCUAUAUGUAACGUACAUAUAUAAAACAAAUUAUGAAUAAAGAAAUAAUAAUCAGGUCGGUACAGUAUUAUGAUUUUUUUCACCUUAAAAAUUUUUAACGCCUGAUUAUACAAAUAGAUAUAUAUCACGAAAAUGUAAGAUCAUAGUUAACGCGCCGAAGUCCACUCUCGAAAAAGAAAAAAAAAAAAAGGAGCCACUCGAUUAGGAAAUUUCGGAUUAAAAAUGUACAUGUGCAUGGGGCAUAUAAUAAGCGGUGGACUACGAUUCUAAACGUUUCUCUUUCAUUUGGGAGCAUCGCGAUUCAUUUACGUUUUUUUUUUUAUGUUUUUAUAUUCAAACCUUAGAUCAAUCAAUCCAGUAUAGAUAAAGCCCACUCGUUUCAGAAUAGGAACAACCAACCAAAUCUCCUCGUGUAUGUUAAUCGUUAUUAGUCAUGAUAUCAGUAAUAAUGUUAAUAUUUGAAUAAAGUAACAUGAUGUGCAGUCAAAUAUUCAUGGAAUACUUGGCUGCACGGAGGUCAUGCGAGGAUCCACCACAGUUAUCUUCCCACUGUCAAUGCUGUCCUGUUCUUUACACCAUAUAUAUAUAUUAUAUCGGAUUUAUUAGUAUAUAUAUAUAUAUAGUAUAAAUAUAUACACGCACGCUAGUUUUAACAAUCUUUCGUCACAUUCAUUCAUACAUACAUAACUUCAGAAGAGAGGAACGUCUCCGCGAAAGCAAAGUCCCUCUUAACUGCUUUGACGUGCUCUGCCUCGGAUAUUUUCGCUUCCGUUGCUCUUUAUUCACCGAGUAAUUCACUUCCAAUGAUUCCCGUUGCCGCACUCCUUUGUUUCUUUUUCUUCUUAAUUUGAACUUCACUUAAUUUCACAAUGACUUAUCACAUGUUUUUUUUUCUGUUUCUCUUUAAACACUAUUAUCAAGUCAGCUCACUGUUUGAUACAAGGAACGAUAAUACAAUUGAAUAUUUACGAACACAACAUUUUUGUCAUGCUGAAUAAUGUAGCUUGUCUCGUAGAAAGACGCAAGCUCCUGGACUUGCGGCGACCAGUCUCGCAUCUCUCGCAAUGUUUUAUAUAGUCGGCCUGUAAGUAUAGUUUGUAGAGAUGGUGGAGAUGGUAGUGA